CCUACGGGAGGCAGCAGUGAGGAAUAUUGGUCAAUGGUCGGGAGACUGAACCAGCCAAGCCGCGUGAGGGAUGAAGGUACAGAGUAUCGUAAACCUCUUUUGUCAGGGAACAAAGGCGGGGACGCGUCCCCGGAUGAGUGUACCUGAAGAAAAAGCAUCGGCUAACUCCGUGCCAGCAGCCGCGGUAAUACGGAGGAUGCGAGCGUUAUCCGGAUUUAUUGGGUUUAAAGGGUGCGUAGGCGGGUUAUCAAGUCCGCGGUAAAAUCGUGGAGCUCCACUCCCUCCAGCCGUUUAAACUUGU
Molecule: ribosomal RNA, 301 nt
Filed under: uncultured bacterium
Lineage: Bacteria
Description: bacterial SSU rRNA
Rfam family: Bacterial small subunit ribosomal RNA
Source: RNAcentral